Molecule: ribosomal RNA, 658 nt
Filed under: uncultured organism
Description: bacterial SSU rRNA
Rfam family: Bacterial small subunit ribosomal RNA
Source: RNAcentral
AACUAUGAUUGACGCUGAGGCACGAAAGCCUGGGUAGCAAACAGGAUUAGAUACCCUGGUAGUCCACGCUGUAAACGAUGAUCACUCGCUGUUGUCAAUACAUCGUCAGUGUCUGAGCGUAAGCAUUAAGUGAUCCACCUGGGGAGUACGUCCGCAAGGUUGAUACUCAAAGGAAUUGACGGGGGCCCGCACAAGCGGAGGAACAUGUGGUUUAAUUCGAUGAUACGCGAGGAACCUUACCUGGGCUUAAAUGCAGAGCGACAUCCGCCGAAAGGUGGAUUCCUUCGGGCGAUCUGCAAGGUGCUGCAUGGCUGUCGUCAGCUCGUGCCGUGAGGUGUCGGGUUAAGUCCCAUAACGAGCGCAACCCUUAUCGUUAGUUGCCAGCGGCUAAUGCCGGGGACUCUAACGAAACUGCCCCUCUAACCGUGAGGAAGGUGGGGAUGACGUCAAGUNGCACGGCCNUUAUGUCCAGGGCUACACACGUGUUACAAUGGCCGGUACAAAGGGCAGCUACCACGCGAGUGGAUGCUAAUCUCCAAAACCGGUCUUAGUUCGGAUUGAAGUCUGCAACUCGACUUCAUGAAGCUGGAUUCGCUAGUAAUCGCGCAUCCGCCAUGGCGCGGUGAUACGUUCCCGGCCAUUGACACACCGCCCGUCA